GACGAACGCUGGCGGCGUGCUUAACACAUGCAAGUCGAACGGAAAGGCCCUGCUUUUGUGGGGUGCUCGAGUGGCGAACGGGUGAGUAACACGUGAGUAACCUGCCCUUGACUUUGGGAUAACUUCAGGAAACUGGGGCUAAUACCGGAUAGGAGCUCCUGCUGCAUGGUGGGGGUUGGAAAGUUUCGGCGGUUGGGGAUGGACUCGCGGCUUAUCAGCUUGUUGGUGGGGUAGUGGCUUACCAAGGCUUUGACGGGUAGCCGGCCUGAGAGGGUGACCGGCCACAUUGGGACUGAGAUACGGCCCAGACUCCUACGGGAGGCAGCAGUGGGGAAUAUUGCACAAUGGGCGGAAGCCUAAUGCAGCAACGCCGCGUGCGGGAUUACGGCCUUCGGGUUGUAAACCGCUUUCGCCUGUGACGAAGCGUGAGUGACGGUAAUGGGUAAAGAAGCACCGGCUAACUACGUG
RNAcentral lists this ribosomal RNA (468 nucleotides) under uncultured bacterium. RNAcentral describes it as "partial 16S ribosomal RNA". It matches the Rfam family "Bacterial small subunit ribosomal RNA", at positions 28 to 507 of the family's 1533-position model. The record is from RNAcentral.